RNAcentral lists this non-coding RNA (29 nucleotides) under Mus musculus (house mouse). Lineage: Eukaryota; Metazoa; Chordata; Mammalia; Rodentia; Muridae. The record is from RNAcentral.
UGACAUGUCUCAGCCAGAGAGUUCUUGCC